CUGAGGGCAUGGCAUAGGAAGGGUCAUCGCAAGCAAGGGGUGGAGGCCAGGGCCUGUUUGCUCAUUUUUGGAUGAGAAGAGGCCACUCUGCAGCACAAGGAAAGACGUGACAAUAUAUGGAAAGGCACAGGAAGAAGAUAACUUGGCAGAGCCUUCUCCGUUUCCACUGAGGAAAACUGGCUAUGCUGGAGCCUGCAUAGUAGCAUGGAACCCCAUGAGGCAAGUGUGUGCCUGCUCUUCACCUUUGGAAGUCUCUCAAAGGCAGAUCUCACACAUGCUGUUUCCAUGGAAACGGGUCAAAGAAGCGAAG
Molecule: long non-coding RNA, 310 nt
Organism: Sphaerodactylus townsendi
Lineage: Eukaryota; Metazoa; Chordata; Lepidosauria; Squamata; Sphaerodactylidae
Exons: 3
Source: RefSeq, a predicted model, not a curated record